RNAcentral lists this long non-coding RNA (1738 nucleotides) under Pan troglodytes (chimpanzee). RNAcentral describes it as "long non-coding RNA NONPTRT013700". Lineage: Eukaryota; Metazoa; Chordata; Mammalia; Primates; Hominidae. The record is from RNAcentral.
CAAAACCAUGUUGGCAUCAAUGAGAUAUGAUGUGCCAUUCUAAAAGCUUCUCUCCUGAUUGCUUUAGAAAUUAGGAUCUGGAAGGACUUUAACAUGAAUUAGUUUUUUUGCAUGUUUAUAGGCCAGAGACCUGACCAGGCAAUGAACUGAUAGAUUUAAAUAAAUAUUCCCCUCCUAACUUUUUCCUUUAGCUACAGACCAGACAGUCCAAACACAAAGCUCAGAAUUCCAGCUCCAACUUAUUUACUCAGUGAAUUUAUUGUAAAAAUAAAGAAACUCAAUUAUUCCAGUUAAUGGAUUUCACGUUAAAUAGUUUAACUUUCAAUGGGCUUUCUGAAGAGCUGUUCAUAGGAUGAUAUUUGGAAGAGUCCUUUCCUUAAGGAAAAAAGGGUGAACAAUAAAUAAAGAGUUACUUGCGUUAACGGUCACGUUAUUUCAUUAAAAGAGAGGAGGAGCAGAAAUCUAUGACAUAGUUGCCCAACAUGGCAUUUAUCUGCUGUAACAGAAAGCUGUAACACUGGCGGGCAUUUCACAGUAUUUGCGCAUAGUAAACUUCUGCCAUUGUUAAAGUCUGAGUUAGAAUUAUCAAUGAAUUCUUUUUUUUUUUUUGUCUUUUUAAAUUUUCUUGAUUUUAAAAAAUGUAUUUGUGUUUUGCAGGUUGGAACGCAAACCCAGUGUGGCCACGUCCCGUGAAGUUAUGGACAAAAUGUUUCAGUUUCUGUUCACCUCUGUGCGUGUGUGUGUAUGUGUUGUGUGCAUGUGUGUGUGUGGGGGGGGGGGAUGGGGUAGGUAUGUGCUUUUGGCUCAUGUUUGUGAUGACAACUGAAGUCUUUUGUGGGUCCGACCUGUUGUAGGGUGUGGGGGAAAGUGAAGGAAGAGAAUGAAGACGCAGUAGACGGUGAUGCCCGAGAAGACGGCCCCCAUGACGAAAGCCAGGAUGACUGCAAUGGCCAAGAGGGUGACGGGAACCAGCUGGUCGUGGCCUUUGAGGGUCCUCCUCCCUUCAAUUGUGACAUCACAGUUGGUUGCUGUGGAAAUGAUUGUCCUAUGACAAAGGAUUGUGACUUAAGUAGAAGCAGCAAAUAUCUCUUAAGAAAUAAAGAUUCUGUGAUCCAACAAAUACCCUUGGUAAUAAAAGGCAGUCAAGGCAAUUCACCAUAAGGAAAGAGUGUACAAGACGGUACUGAUCCAGUCAUGAGAAUAUUAGAAGUCAAAUACUGCAAAUUAUUAGAUGACCUAGAAGAGACAGGACGAACAUUCUUGAGUUCCAAACUGCCUCUUCCAUCUACUGACUACUUGGACCAGGAAAAAUACAACAGAGAAAGAUAACAGGCCGACUCACGUGAAAAUAAAACGAGCGGGAAGGGCAGUUGGCUUAGAAAAUUCCCUUGCCAGCUACUUGUGAAAUGAUUAAACAGUGUAGAGCCAAGAAAGACCACAGGGGACACUACAAGAUAACGCUCCAUGUUGCUGUUCAUUUGGAAUUAUUUUGAAUAGCUACACACUCCCAAAAUGGAGGAUCAUAUAUUGUUGGACUCCUUAGGGACGUCAUUAAGGUAAUCAAAUACAACAUCUCAUUUGGCAGAGGAUACUUAUGGCCAGACAAGUUGUGGUCCGGCUAAAUUAAGAGCAGAAUUAUAACAAAAGCCUAAAUUUAUGUGAUCCCUGUUUGAGCCGUAUUCUUACCGUGCCAUUCAGCCUUAAGACAUCAGCCUGUCUGUCUAAAUAACAUUUCCCC